CUCCUACGGGAGGCAGCAGUGGGGAAUAUUGCACAAUGGGCGAAAGCCUGAUGCAGCAAUGCCGCGUGUGUGAAGAAGGCCUGCGGGUUGUAAAGCACUUUCAGUAGGGAGGAAACAGUAACGGAACAAUACCCGUUGCCUUGACGUUACCUACAGAAGAAGCACCGGCUAACUCUGUGCCAGCAGCCGCGGUAAUACAGAGGGUGCAAGCGUUAAUCGGAAUUACUGGGCGUAAAGCGCGCGUAGGUGGUGUGGUCAGUCGGAUGUGAAAGCCCCGGGCUUAACCUGGGAAUUGCAUUCGAUACUGCCAGACUAGAGUGUAGUAGAGGGAAGCGGAAUUCCAGGUGUAGCGGUGAAAUGCGUAGAUAUCUGGAGGAACAUCAGUGGCGAAGGCGGCUUCCUGGACUAACACUGACACUGAGGCGCGAAAGCGUGGGGAGCAAACAGGAUUAGAUACCCUGGUAGUCCACGCCGUAAACGAUGUCAACUAGACGUUGGGGGGUUUAACCCUUUAGUGUCGCAGCUAACGCAAUAAGUUGACCGCCUGGGGAGUACGGCCGCAAGGUUAAAACUCAAAGGAAUUGACGG
Molecule: ribosomal RNA, 588 nt
Filed under: uncultured bacterium
Lineage: Bacteria
Description: bacterial SSU rRNA
Rfam family: Bacterial small subunit ribosomal RNA
Source: RNAcentral